ACGAACGCUGGCGGCGUGCUUAACACAUGCAAGUCGAGCGGUAAGGCCCUUCGGGGUACACGAGCGGCGAACGGGUGAGUAACACGUGGGUGACCUGCCUCGCACUUCGGGAUAAGCCUGGGAAACUAGGUCUAAUACCGGAUAUGACCGUUGACCGCAUGGUUGGUGGUGGAAAGAUUUAUCGGUGCGAGAUGGGCCCGCGGCCUAUCAGCUUGUUGGUGGGGUAACGGCCUACCAAGGCGACGACGGGUAGCCG
RNAcentral lists this ribosomal RNA (256 nucleotides) under Nocardia sp. ISOM496_OTU2470. Its description in RNAcentral is "partial 16S ribosomal RNA". It matches the Rfam family "Bacterial small subunit ribosomal RNA", at positions 29 to 289 of the family's 1533-position model. Lineage: Bacteria; Bacillati; Actinomycetota; Actinomycetes; Mycobacteriales; Nocardiaceae. The record is from RNAcentral.